CCAUGGGUGAUUUAUUUUGUCUCCAACUUCUGAUUUUUCUAUCAUCUGCAAGUACAAAUGACUUGCUGACUACUCCCUCCGUUCCAAAUUGUAGGUUGUUUUAGCUUUUUUAAGUUCAUAGAUAUUAUUAUGCAUCUAGAUAUAGUGUAUGUCUAAGUGCGUAAUAACAUCUAUGAACCUAGAAAAGUUAAAACGACCUAUAAUUUGGAACGGAGGGAGUACAUAAUAUGAAUGGGAAUUCAUAAUAUUGACACAACUAGAUAAACUAAUUGUCUAUUGACUGUAAAAUAUUUUCUUUAAAUACAUGGACAGUGAUGGUGUAUAUAUGUAAAAAAACGAAAAAAGAUGGUUACUUGAUGAGCAUAAAUGAAGAUUAGCUCCAAUUGGUGCUAUACAAAUAGAUCAGGAGUGUGUUGGAUGUUUUGU
This 426-nucleotide long non-coding RNA is filed under the name Setaria viridis. RNAcentral describes it as "long non-coding RNA (SVIR_LNC011173)". The record is from RNAcentral. Lineage: Eukaryota; Viridiplantae; Streptophyta; Magnoliopsida; Poales; Poaceae.